GCCAGCAGCAAAAGCAUAUUGACUGUACCAGUUCCCAAUGGCUGAAAUCGAGCAACGCUGCACUUGGUUGGUAUCUAGAUGGAUGACCAUAUGGCAAUCACGUGCUGCUGACU
Molecule: ribosomal RNA, 113 nt
Filed under: Diaphorina citri (Asian citrus psyllid)
Lineage: Eukaryota; Metazoa; Arthropoda; Insecta; Hemiptera; Psyllidae
Source: RNAcentral